GGGGUAGACGCGGCACCGCACCUCCAGCUCGAGGGUGGCUUCUCAGCCGGCGCCGCUGUGGGUCCCGCCGGUUACCGGAGCCUUGCAACGGGGCAGGGCUCGCCAGGCCGUGCAGCUGCGCUGGCCCGGCCCCGCCGGUACCGCUGGCUUGGCGGCUGCUUCUCAAGUUACGUAAAGCGGGGCGAGCGCGGCCGCCCGCGGGCGGAGCUGCGGACCCUCCGUGGCGGGGCCUGGUGGGGCCGGGCGGCCGCGGGCAGCGGGUCCCCCCCGCAGCGGGGCCGUGCCGAUAGCUGGCCCGAGGGGGGCUACGGGGUCUGCGGCGUUUCAUCCCUUUCAGAGCCGUUAACUCGCAGGCAUUGGUGGGCAGCGCAGACACAUCCUAGUGUGGAACUCCGGGGGCGGGGGGGGAGUUACCUUCGGUUGUUUGUAAUUCGGUAACGGGCUCCCUGGGGCAGGGAGCGUGUCCCCCUCCGCGUGCUUGCGUGUGUGUGCGAGGUGUGAUAAAUAGGCCCCGGUUUGAGUUCAGAAACAGGUGAAAUACGUUGUUAAGGAGCUAGAUGGAAGUCAACACAAAAUUACUAUUUUUAAAACCUUUUGUAAAACCUAACUCAGCAAAGUGCCUCUAAGUAUUCUACUAGUUCUUCAGGUGACGUUCCAUUGGUAGCACUUGGAUCCUAAACAACAGAGGUCAGGCGGUGUUGUCCAGAGACACGGUAUAUGUAACCAGAGCACAGAUAGUAUUGCAUAGCUAAAAGUCUACUGAAUCCAAUUAGAACUGUUAAGUAAGUGUUGUUUGGUUUGUAAUCGGUUAUCCUUGAAUCGCGUGGCUUAUAUGUUUCUCAAUGAACAUACAAACCAUUAGCUUAAAAGGGUUUGGAAUUGCGAUAGCUGCAAGCUGGAGGCAAACCCUUUUAAACUGGUUUUGUUAUGACCUAUUUGCUUCACCCACAAAGAGGGAGGUGGCUGUUGUAAACGCCCAGUAAGAUAAGUUGGUGUCAUGCUGUUUAGUAGGUAGGAUUCCUGGGACUCUGUCCUAUCCUGUUUCAGAUCUAGCAGUUCAGUACCUCCAGCAAAUGUGCCUUUUUAUUUCGUUCUUAACUUACAGUUGGGAAUCAAACUAAACCAAAUACAGAUUCUGAACAGGAAACAAAUUUUGCACAAGAAGUGAAGUAAGUAAAUAUCUAGGUAAGAGAGUGCGGUCACUGGAUUAUCUUCUAGGUGUUGUGAGCAAUCCGUUUGUUCUGAAAGUUUGUGUGGUGCAAUGAAUCUACUGGUUUAGUGCAGUGACAUGUGACACCAGUCCAGGGUGAAGCUUGUGUAGUGGCACACUGUGUGGCUAAAUCUUCCCUCCUGGCUUCCCUCCUGAUGCAAGCGAGGAGUUAUAUGGCAUGUCUAAAAGUUGUUUUUCUGUUAAAUUAUUUUCUGUUCCUUUUAUUGCAUGAAUUGGCAGUAAACUUCUGUGUUCAUAGAAAAGGCUUGAGUCCUAAGGUUGUGACCUUCGUUUGAGCAUUGCAUUCUUUCUCUAAAGUUUAGCCUUCACAGACUGCAAAUUAAUACAGUCUUAAACCCUCUUGUGAUUCAUAGCAUGUAAACAUUUUAGAUAUUUGGAAAUUGUGAUACUUUCAUGGUUUAAGAUGGAUUUACAUACAAAUAUAUGUGCAUAUAUAUAUAUUCAUGAGUCUAGUAUGUUCUAAUGUAGUAUCUUUGUAUGUUUCUUUUCCUGUGUUCUUGGUGGGGGGGAGGAGGGUAGAAACCAAACAAGUAACACAGUGUGCCCUUUGCUUCCUUGACCUGACGUUUCUGUUACUCAAAGAAUACUCUUCUGUUACCUUUCAGAGUUACUGGAGUCUGGAUGUGACACUGGUAGUAUCAGCCCCUUUUAUUUAUCUGUGGAUCCUUUGAUUUGUUGCGAACCUGGACUCAACUGGGUUCUGUUUAUAGAGAUUUAAUCGCAUGCCUCCCAGGAACAUAGCUGGGUACUGUUCUUGAAAAGAAGAGAAAACAUGGCUUACACAGUGAAUAAACCUUGAACUCCUGGACCAGAAACUGUUUUUUUUCUUUUUUUCAUGAAGGAUGGCAACACCAUACGUUCCUGUUCCUAUUCCUAUUGGAAGUUCAUCAUCCAGCUUUACAAACAGAAACCAAAGAAGUUCUUCUUUUGGGAGCAUCUCAACAAGUUCCAGCUCCUCAAAAGGACAGCUGGAGGACUCUACAGUUGGUAGUUUUAAAAAGAUGAGCGUGCCUGACCAGAUUGGUUCUACGUCAUCUGUGUGUAGUAGUCCACUUGUUAGGACUAAAUUUACGCGUAUGGAUACAUCGAUAGAAUACUGUACUCAGCCUGUAGAAGAAAUGGAGCAGAAUACAGAUUCCAGGAGCUGGGAAGAUCGACCGUCCACGCCUACUAUACUAGGUUAUGAGGUGAUGGAGGAAAGGGCAAAAUUCACUGUGUACAAAAUACUGGUAAAAAGAAGUCCAGAGGAAAGUUGGGUGGUUUUCAGACGGUACACUGACUUCUCCAGGCUUAACGACAAGCUAAAAGAUAUGUUUCCAGGCUUUCGGUUGGCUCUUCCCCCAAAGCGCUGGUUCAAGGAUAAUUACAAUCCUGACUUCUUGGAAGAUCGACAGUUGGGACUACAGGCAUUCCUCCAGAACCUAGUAGCUCACAAAGAUAUUGCUAACUGCCUUGCAGUGAGAGAAUUUCUUUGUCUGGAUGAUCCUCCGGGUCCUUUUGACAGUCUAGAAGAGAGCAGGGCUUUCUGUGAAACUCUGGAGGAAACAAAUUACCGCCUACAAAAAGAACUGCUUGAAAAACAAAGGGAAGUUGAAUCGCUGAAGAAAUUGUUAAGUGAAAAGCAACUUCAUAUAGAUGCUGUUGAAAGAAGAAUUAGGAAAAAUGACUCGUCAAAUGUCAGGAGAAGAAAGUGAGUGCAGUGGCGAGGUGGAGUCUUCUGCAGUUGAAGCAGACCAGGGUACCCUGGGUGAGGACAGCUGCUCAGAUAAAGAGAAUCAUGAGACAUGCUGGAGUGGCUCUUUGGCUGAAAAUUCUGUACCAGAAAUCGAAGUCGCUGAAGUAGCGUAUACUGCUGAUGAAGAAUAAUAGAUCAAUAGCAGCUGUUGUUACCUGGGAAAGGUUCAGGUGUGGGACAUACUCUGUGGGUAGGGGCAUAGAGUAGCUGUGAAGAAUUUACAGCAAAGAGCAAGAAUGCACAUAUUGAAUGUUUACAUAAAUCCUUACAAAUUAUUAACGUAAUAAAUAUACCCCGUGCUGCUUUGAUUUCAGUUUUUAUCUAGCCUUUGUAUAUUUAAUAUAUUAAAGUCUAAUAAGGGCUAAAAUCAGCUGAAGUUUAGGUAGUGUACAAACACAAUUUGGCUGACUUUCGUAGCAGACCGAUGAAAGCUUCACAUGAAAUCGCCAAACGCAUCUAGCAUGUCAUAGUUGCCACUGAUGUGACACAUUGGAUGUGUUCAUCUGUUUAUUUGUGUUUUCAUAUUCUUAUAGCCAUAAAUUAAUGCUUGUUGAAGUAAAAACGGAUUCAUCUUACAUUUAAUAAGAGUGUAGAAUGACUUGGUUUUAAAUUCUGAAGUUGAAGAAUAUUUCUCUGGAAAUUUUAAUGCAAUGCAAUAGGAAAACUUAGAGUACCAAGAGAAGAGUAUUUAUGAAAAUGGAAUUGUAGAUGGACAUUUUUUUUUAAAAAAAAAAAAGGUCACUUUUGCUGAAGGAACUAAUAUGAGACCCCCAAAACACUGUGUAUUUUCAUCCCAAGAUAGCACGCUGUAAUACAUCUUGUUCAGUAAUGCUGCUUUGAAAAACUGGGAUACCUUUGCUAUAUACCCAUGUAACAAUAAAAUUGGUGAGUUUGCCUUUUACUUGGAACACUACCUCUUACCAUCUUGCUAAUGCAUUCAUGUUUGUUUAAAAAUGUUCCAGAUUAUAUGGAGGUUAUUGAAAGACUUGUAAAGAAGCCAUAUUUUUUUCUGCACAGUUCAUAACUAGAUUGAAUCUAGUUGCAAUGUAUUUUUGUUUCAAUAUAUUGUACACGUGGGGAUGUUGCUCCAUAUGUUAUAUAGCCUAUUUUUCAAAAUGUAUUAAGACAGGAGAUGCACUUUAUAAUUAAGAUUCCAUUGUGCCAAGUUCAGUUGGCUAAUUGGUUGAGAAAGGGGAGAGUUGCAGGGAGAGGAUUAUGCAGUGCCUUUUUGUAUUCACUUGUUCAUUACUGCAGAAUUUUGUUACAGUGCUCUGGGUCAGUUCUGUGGAAUCUUUUGAUACAGCUUGUUUCUGUUCUUCACUUAUUUACUGAAAGUGCCUUGUUUUAUUCUGCUUUUCUAAUAGGAAGAAUGUUGUUUUGUUUUAAUUUUUUUUCCCCCACCCUAUACCACCCACAACAUUGUUUAAUGUUGUCAAUAUGCAGUGUCUUUGUGCUGGAGUUUUCAAAGGGAGCUUUGUACUUCAGGCUGUGCAUACAAUGACCUUUAUGCAGAACUGUAUAAACCUUCCUGGUGAAAUAAAACUAUGGACAAAA
This is an RNA transcript of Falco peregrinus (peregrine falcon), 4520 nucleotides long. It is a transcript of the gene named sorting nexin 16, with no coding region annotated. The transcript is spliced from 9 exons. The record is from RefSeq and is a predicted model, not a curated record. Lineage: Eukaryota; Metazoa; Chordata; Aves; Falconiformes; Falconidae.